RNAcentral lists this ribosomal RNA (473 nucleotides) under uncultured Candidatus Saccharibacteria bacterium. RNAcentral's name for it is "bacterial SSU rRNA". It matches the Rfam family "Bacterial small subunit ribosomal RNA", at positions 957 to 1444 of the family's 1533-position model. The record is from RNAcentral. Lineage: Bacteria; Candidatus Saccharimonadota.
GUAAGCGAAGAACCUUACCAAGGCUUGAAAUCCCGAUAGCAGUUCAUCGAAAGAAGAACCUCAUUUAGUUGGAUCGGUGACAGGUGAUGCAUGGCCGUCGUCAGCUCGUGUCGUGAGAUGUAUGGUUAAGUCCAUUAACGAGCGCAACCCUUAUGUUUAGUUGGAUUUUUCUAAACAGACUGCCCUGGCAACAGGGAGGAGGGAGGGGAUGACGUCAGGUCAGUAUUUCCCUUACGUCUUGGGCUACAAACACGCUACAAUGGCCGGUACAAAGGGCAGCAAACCCGCGAGGGGGAGCAAAUCUCAUCAAAACCGGUCUCAGUUCGGAUUGCAGGCUGAAACUCGCCUGCAUGAAGCUGGAAUCGCUAGUAACGGUAGGUCAGCACACUACCGUGAAUACGUUCCCGGGUCUUGUACACACCGCCCGUCAAACCAUGAAAGUGGCCAACACCCAAAGUCUGAGCUUGCCUCAG